ACAAGCUGUGAAGGGCACAUGGUGGAUGCCUUGGCAUCAAGAGCCGAUGAAGGACGUUGGAGCCUGCGAUAAGCCCUGGGGAGUUGGCAACCGAGCUGUGAUCCGGGGGUGUCCGAAUGGGGGAACCCAGCACGAGUCAUGUCGUGUUACCCGCGCCUGAAUGUAUAGGGUGUGUGGAGGGAACGUGGGGAAGUGAAACAUCUCAGUACCCACAGGAAGAGAAAACAAUAGUGAUUCCGAGAGUAGUGGCGAGCGAAAUCGGAGGAGGCUAAACCUCGUGCGUGUGAUACCCGGCAGGGGUUGCGUGCGGGGGGUUGUGGGAGCAUAUGGAGGGGUCUGCCGGCUCCUUGCACAGUGAGAAAGUCGUUGUGAAGUUGAAGUCCGCUGGAAAGUGGUGCCGUAGAGGGUGAGAGCCCCGUAAGUGUAAGCGACGACCUGUGAUGUGUUUUCCCAAGUAACACGGAACUCCUGAAAUUCUGUGUGAAUCUGGCGGGACCACCCGUUAAGCCUAAAUACUCCUUGAUGACCGAUAGCGGACUAGUACCGUGAGGGAAAGGUGAAAAGUACCCCUGGCGGGGAGUGAAAUAGUACCUGAAACCGUGUGCCUACAAUCCGUCGGAGCCCGGCUGCCCUUUGUGGGUGUUGGGGUGACGGCGUGCCUUUUGAAGAAUGAGCCUGCGAGUUUGCGUUGUGUUGCGAGGUUAACCCGUGUGGGGGAGCCGUAGCGAAAGCGAGUCCUAAUAGGGCGGUUGAGUAGCACGAUCAAGACCCGAAGCGGAGUGAUCUAUCCAUGGGCAGGUUGAAGCGCGGGUAAGACCGCGUGGAGGACCGAACCCACUUAGGUUGAAAACUGAGGGGAUGACCUGUGGAUAGGGGUGAAAGGCCAAUCAAACUCCGUGAUAGCUGGUUCUCCCCGAAAUGCAUUUAGGUGCAGCGUUGUGUGUUUCUUGCCGGAGGUAGAGCACUGGAUAGCCGAUGGGCCCUACCAGGUUACUGACGUUAGCCAAACUCCGAAUGCCGGUAAGUGAGAGCGCAGCAGUGAGACUGCGGGGGAUAAGCUCCGUAGUCGAGAGGGAAACAGCCCAGACCAUCAGCUAAGGCCCCUAAGCGGUGACUAAGUGGAAAAGGAUGUGGAGUCGCAGUGACAACCAGGAGGUUGGCUUGGAAGCAGCCACCCUUGAAAGAGUGCGUAAUAGCUCACUGGUCAAGUGAUUCCGCGCCGACAAUGUAGCGGGGCUCAAGCAUACCGCCGAAGUUGUGGCAUUUAUGCAAUAUCUCGGCCUGUUUACAGGUCCAGGAGCAUGGAUGGGUAGGGGAGCGUCGUGUGGCGAGCGAAGCGGCCGGGUAACCGAGCCGUGGAUGCCACACGAGUGAGAAUGCAGGCAUGAGUAGCGAAAGACGGGUGAGAAACCCGUCCGCCGAAUAACCAAGGGUUCCAGGGUCAAGCUAAUCUGCCCUGGGUAAGUCGGGACCUAAGGCGAGGCCGACAGGCGUAGUCGAUGGACAACGGGUUGAUAUUCCCGUACCGGCAACGUAGCGCCCAUGACGAACCUGGUGAUGCUAACCAUCCGAAGCGCAGGUUGACCGAUCCCUUCGGGGUGAGGCUCUUGUGUGGAGCGUGGGACCCGAGCUGGUAGUAGUCAAGCGAUGGGGUGACGCAGGAAGGUAGCCCAACCACGCCGAUGGUUGUUGCGUGGGUAAGCAGGUAGGGGGCGGUCUAGGCAAAUCCGGACCGCUGUGUUUGAUCACGACCCUGAGAUGUGAUGCCGAGCCCGUAUGGGCGAAGUGGGUGAUCCUAUGCUGUCGAGAAAAACCUCUAGCGAGCUAUGCGCCGCCCGUACCCCAAACCGACUCAGGUGGUCAGGUAGAGAAUACCAAGGCGAUCGAGCGAACCAUGGUUAAGGAACUCGGCAAAAUGCCCCCGUAACUUCGGGAGAAGGGGGGCCGGAUCCGUGACCACCCUUGCGGUGGAAAGCGGUGAUGGCCGCAGAGACCAGGCCCAAGCGACUGUUUACUAAAAACACAGGUCCGUGCGAAGUUGUAAGACGAUGUAUACGGACUGACUCCUGCCCGGUGCUGGAAGGUUAAGGGGAACUGUUAGCGCAAGCGAAGCGGUGAACUUAAGCCCCAGUAAACGGCGGUGGUAACUAUAACCAUCCUAAGGUAGCGAAAUUCCUUGUCGGGUAAGUUCCGACCUGCACGAAUGGAGUAACGACUUGGGCGCUGUCUCAACCGUGGACUCGGCGAAAUUGCACUACGAGUAAAGAUGCUCGUUACGCGCGGCAGGACGGA
This 2292-nucleotide ribosomal RNA is filed under the name wastewater metagenome. RNAcentral describes it as "bacterial LSU rRNA". It matches the Rfam family "Bacterial large subunit ribosomal RNA", at positions 1 to 2084 of the family's 2925-position model. The record is from RNAcentral.